Molecule: transfer RNA, 71 nt
Filed under: Cordylochernes scorpioides
Lineage: Eukaryota; Metazoa; Arthropoda; Arachnida; Pseudoscorpiones; Chernetidae
Description: tRNA-Gly
Source: RNAcentral
UGCAUCGGCUGGGAAUCGAACCCGGUCCGCCCGCGUGGCAGGCGAGCAUUCUACCACUGAACCACCUAUGC